Molecule: ribosomal RNA, 433 nt
Filed under: uncultured bacterium
Lineage: Bacteria
Description: partial 16S ribosomal RNA
Rfam family: Bacterial small subunit ribosomal RNA
Source: RNAcentral
AACGAACGCUGGCGGCAUGCCUAACACAUGCAAGUCGAACGAGACCUUCGGGUCUAGUGGCGCACGGGUGCGUAACGCGUGGGAACCUGCCCUUAGGUUCGGAAUAACUCCCCGAAAGGGGUGCUAAUACCGGAUAAUGUCUUCGGACCAAAGAUUUAUCGCCUUUGGAUGGGCCCGCGUUGGAUUAGCUAGUUGGUAGGGUAAAAGCCUACCAAGGCGACGAUCCAUAGCUGGUCUGAGAGGAUGAUCAGCCACACUGGGACUGAGACACGGCCCAGACUCCUACGGGAGGCAGCAGUGGGGAAUAUUGGACAAUGGGCGAAAGACUGAUCCAGCAAUGCCGCGUGAGUGAUGAAGGCAUUAGGGUUGUAAAGCUCUUUUACCCGGGAUGAUAAUGACAGUACCGGGAGAAUAAGCUCAGGCUAACUCCGUG